Molecule: long non-coding RNA, 400 nt
Organism: Panicum virgatum (switchgrass)
Lineage: Eukaryota; Viridiplantae; Streptophyta; Magnoliopsida; Poales; Poaceae
Exons: 2
Source: RefSeq, a predicted model, not a curated record
CUUUAUAACUUGUGCAAAGUGUGACUGGCUGGACAACAAACAUGUGGUCUUUGGGCUAUUGGAGGCGAGGACAUGUUGCUGCAUCUGUUGGCUUCAUAUCUGAUUAGCUCAACGCUAGGGAAAGAAUAAAGUGUGAGUUAGCUGAAUUAAGGCUGAUGUAGACUGUGUAGACGAUGAAUUAAGCCAGAUGAUGAAUUUCGAUGGUUGAUGGAUCUGGAGAAAAGCCAGAUGAUGAAUUAAGGCUGUGUAGACGAUGUGAAUGAUGUUUGUUUUUAUUGUAGAUGGUAACUGAACGAGCAUCAGUGGAGUAUUGCAUAUUUGUUCUUCCCAGCUCUGAGCUCUGAGCUCUGUGUAGACGAUGUGAAUUAAGGCUACUACUCUACUCACCAUGGUCCCUGAA